Molecule: ribosomal RNA, 888 nt
Filed under: uncultured bacterium
Lineage: Bacteria
Description: bacterial SSU rRNA
Rfam family: Bacterial small subunit ribosomal RNA
Source: RNAcentral
UUUGGAUUUGAUUCCUGGGUCCAGGACGAACGCGGGGGCCAUCCCUAAUACAUCCAAGUUCGAACCCCGAACCCUUUUGCUUGCAGAGUGCGGAGGAGUGGCGACGGGUGAGUAACACGUGGGAAAUUCUGCUUAGGAGUGGGGGGAUAACAUUCGGAAACGGAUGCUAAUACCGCAUAUCUUCAUAGACCGCAUGGUCUAUGAAUGAAAGACGGCUUUGCUGUCGCUUUUAGAUGAUCCCGCGGCGUAUUAGUUAGUUGGUGGGGUAAAGGCCUACCAAGACAAUGAUACGUAGCCGACCUGAGAGGGUGAUCGGCCACACUGGGACUGAGACACGGCCCAGACUCCCACGGGAGGCAGCAGUAGGGAAUCUUCCACAAUGGGUGCAAACCUGAUGGAGCAAUGCCGCGUGAAUGAAGAAGGUCUUCGGAUCGUAAAGUUCUGUUAUUAGUGAAGAACAAAUCGAGGAGUAACUGUCUCGAUUUUGACGGUAACUAACCAGAAAGUCACGGCUAACUACGUGCCAGCAGCCGCGGUAAUACGUAGGUGACAAGCGUUGUCCGGAAUUAUUGGGCGUAAAGGGAGCGCAGGCGGUUGGAAUAGUCUGAUGUGAAAGCCCACGGCUUAACCGUGGAAGGUCAUUGGAAACUGUCCAACUUGAAUGCAGAAGAGGUAAGUGGAAUUCCAUGUGUAGCGGUGAAAUGCGUAGAUAUAUGGAGGAACACCAGUGGCGAAGGCGACUUACUGGUCUGUGAUUGACGCUGAGGCUCGAAAGCGUGGGUAGCGAACAGGAUUAGAUACCCUGGUAGUCCACGCCGUAAACGAUGAGUGCUAAGUGUUGGAGGGUUUCCGCCCUUCAGUGCUGGAGUUAACGCAUUAAGCACUCCG